CGUCGGUGUCAAUGGAGUCAUUGGGGGACACGGAGGGGGUGUGGCCUACCUGGAAGUAUGGCCUAAAAUGGGGGCGUGGCCUAUGGAUGGGGGCGUGGCUUAUGAUGGCGUGUGACCACUAUGGGGGCGUGGGCUGGGCGUGUCGGGGGCGUGGCUUCAGGGCAGAUGGCUGACCAAGAGGGUGGGUGAGGGGGCGUGGUUUGCGGCCGAGGGGGCGUGGUUAAGACGCGGUGGGCGUGGCCAGGAGAGCCGCGAGGUCGGCGAUUGGCGGAAGAACGUGGACGCGCUGAGCGGCAUGGAGGGACGCAAGAAGAAGUUCGAGGCCCCGGGGGGCGGGCAGGGCUGAGGUGUCUUCCCGACAGACCCUCGCUUUAAGGACAGCGUUGUGGCAUCCAGCACCUUUAAUCUCACUUCCUCCCCCCUUUCCCGCAAUAAUUUACUCCCCUCAAUAAAUUACCCAUCCCCUAAUAAA
This is a long non-coding RNA of Lagopus leucura (white-tailed ptarmigan), 472 nucleotides long. RefSeq lists it as uncharacterized. The transcript is spliced from 2 exons. The record is from RefSeq and is a predicted model, not a curated record. Lineage: Eukaryota; Metazoa; Chordata; Aves; Galliformes; Phasianidae.